AGUGAACGCUGGCGGUAGGCCUAACACAUGCAAGUCGAACGGCAGCACAGUAAGAGCUUGCUCUUACGGGUGGCGAGUGGCGGACGGGUGAGGAAUACAUCGGAAUCUACUUUUUCGUGGGGGAUAACGUAGGGAAACUUACGCUAAUACCGCAUACGACCUACGGGUGAAAGCAGGGGAUCUUCGGACCUUGCGCGAUUGAAUGAGCCGAUGUCGGAUUAGCUAGUUGGCGGGGUAAAGGCCCACCAAGGCGACGAUCCGUAGCUGGUGUGAGAGGAUGAUCAGCCACACUGGAACUGAGACACGGUCAAGACUCCUACGGGAGGCAGCAGUGGGGAAUAUUGGACAAUGGGCGCAAGCCUGAUCCAGCCAUACCGCGUGGGUGAAGAAGGCCUUCGGGUUGUAAAGCCCUUUUGUUGGGAAAGAAAAGCAGCAGGUUAAUACCCCGCUGUUCUGACGGUACCCAAAGAAUAAGCACCGGCUAACUUCGUG
This 492-nucleotide ribosomal RNA is filed under the name uncultured bacterium. RNAcentral's name for it is "partial 16S ribosomal RNA". It matches the Rfam family "Bacterial small subunit ribosomal RNA", at positions 29 to 507 of the family's 1533-position model. The record is from RNAcentral.